Long non-coding RNA from Herpailurus yagouaroundi (jaguarundi), 1324 nucleotides. RefSeq lists it as uncharacterized. The record is from RefSeq and is a predicted model, not a curated record. The transcript has 2 exons. NCBI's taxonomy places the organism in Eukaryota, Metazoa, Chordata, Mammalia, Carnivora, Felidae.
GCUUGUGCUGAUAGAUUUGUCCUAGAAAAUAAAGAAUUGAUGAACAUUCAUAAACAUCUUACUUUUAAUUUUCAUAAAUGGCAGACCAGGUCAUAACCAUAUAACUGAGAGCAACAUAAAUUUUCUUUAUACUGAACGUUCGACUUUUCUGCAAACAGCACACAUCAUAAACCAUUUAAAAUAUGCUUUUCCUUCAGUCUUUACAGAGCUUACAUGUAGAGUUGCCACCAUAUCCAAAUAAGGCUUGCAGAUGUGACAGUUCCUAAAAACCCACAUCCAUGCCUCCCUCACAUGGACAUGUGCUUCAAGGAAAGCUGACCCAAUCCACAGCUCCAAGGGUGAUCCUGAAUUAGUCUAGGCCAUGCAUUCUGGGGGUAGGGUAAUAAACUUACUCUUUUUUAUGCAUAAAGCAUAAAGUGUAUAAACAUACAGUAAUAUCUAUGGCAUUAAAAUUUCAUGGGGAGGAGUAUUUAGGAAGAGAACGUCUAAAAAGACUCCUUAGAUUAACAAAAACACUAGUCUGAACCAAAUAGAGUAAUCUCAUUUUAUUAGCACAGUGAUUUAAUUUGGGCCUAAUUUAAUUUAAUGUGAGGCCCUUGCUAUUUUCUGGAAGAGCUGUGGAAAACCAGAAACCCUCCUCUUGGAUGUGAAUGAGAGGAUGAAACCUUUGUCACAACCAGCAGUUAUCCUAUAACCAAGUGGAAAACCAGCUUUGGGUGAAAUUGGCACUGUAAAUGGCAAAGCAGAGAUGGACAAAAACCUCAGUCCUACAUGAAAUUCUUCAAAUACUGGCUCAACCAACCCUGAAAUCUACGAUACCUCUGGAUUUCUGCUACUCUGUACCUUUUCUUUUGGUUUAAACCACUUUAAAGUGGGUUUCUGUUACCUGAAGUCAAAAGCAAGCACCGUUGCUUGCUAGGUGUUUGCUAGGCAGCAUCCUAAUCGCCGCCCUGAGACUGUCACAGGAUUCUUGGGACUAUUAAUAUAAGUGAAAGCAUCUACUAUAGUUCCUAGCCAAAUUAAUAAAUUUUUUGAAAAAAACCAUUUGAAGCCAUAUGAAGAAGGCUACUUUUUUGGGCCCUGAUCUAUGAGCCACUACAUUUAUUAAUUUUAGAAAAAUUUAUAUUGUUUACUUUCAGGAAUGUUCUGUUUUGUGAAACAGAUUUUUUUGGGGGCGGGGAAUAGAAGUAGAGGGGUAAAAAUAAUUAGGGUCCUUAAGUCUAUUUGAUGCUGGUAAUCUGGAUCUGGUUUUUUUGGCAUCUUCCUUAUUUCUGAAAAUUUUUCCUAUUUUUGCCUCAAUGUGUGGUCUGCAGGCCACCUACAU